This 207-nucleotide ribosomal RNA is filed under the name uncultured bacterium. Its description in RNAcentral is "partial 16S ribosomal RNA". It matches the Rfam family "Bacterial small subunit ribosomal RNA", at positions 568 to 774 of the family's 1533-position model. The record is from RNAcentral.
CGCGUAGGCGGGUCUGUUAGUCAGAGGUGAAAUCCUACGGCUCAACCGUAGAACUGCCUUUGAUACUGCAGAUCUUGAGUAUGGAAGAGAGUGACGGAAUUCCAGGUGUAGUGGUGAAAUACGUAGAUAUCUGGAAGAACACCAGUGGCGAAGGCGGUCACUUGGUCCAUUACUGACGCUGAGGCGCGAAAGCGUGGGGAGCAAACA